ACUACACUAGAUUUAUCAGGUGAUCACUUCAUCAGUUAUGUAAGUGUCUAAUCAUGUGGUCGUACAUCUAAAAUUAAAAUAAUGUACAUCAACUGUAACUGAAAAAUUAAAAAAGAAUAAAUUGUAAUAAGUCCUAAAAUAAGGCUAGAUGACCAACACAGAACUUUACUUGUAUGACCUUUUUACACUUACUUUGAAGCUUUAAAUACAUUUAAAAAUAAUAUCUGCUUUACUGGGGCACUAAUCGCACACUCAGCUGGCCAAGUGGAUAAUCCAGCACUCCCCACACGUUCGUCUUGGCUUGCCGAACACCCUGACUGCACAGUGGGCAGGCAAUUGGGCUAAUUAAUCCUUUUCUUUCCUUAGUGGCCCUCUUUGUUCCAUGUAUACUUUCUACCUCUGAUUCCAAAAAAUAUAAGAACUCCAGCCUUUCCAACCCUGAGCCAUUUCCAUGUUGAUAAACUUGCUGCCUCACUGAAAGAGGAUUUUAAAAGAUAAUAUCUUAAAGGCAUAAAGUUAUCUAUGGUGCAUGGAAAACCUGUGUUUCAUUGUAGUUAUUACAUUGUGAACUCUCAGUAGCAGGGAGGCAAGUAAUCUCUUGGAACUGGAAGUCUGGAUUCAGUGCAGAAAAAUUACAUGAG
Phyllostomus discolor (pale spear-nosed bat) is the source of this 641-nucleotide long non-coding RNA. RefSeq lists it as uncharacterized. The transcript is spliced from 2 exons. The record is from RefSeq and is a predicted model, not a curated record. Lineage: Eukaryota; Metazoa; Chordata; Mammalia; Chiroptera; Phyllostomidae.